Molecule: long non-coding RNA, 523 nt
Organism: Armigeres subalbatus
Lineage: Eukaryota; Metazoa; Arthropoda; Insecta; Diptera; Culicidae
Exons: 3
Source: RefSeq, a predicted model, not a curated record
AAUCGGGUGACUACCAAAUCGGCCUAUUUUCAUACCGACGAAGUCGAUUAUCGUUGGCUACUUAUUUUCGUCGAUAGAUUAAUUGAAUAAAUAAAUCGGUGCCGAUUUCAUCGGUAAAAUAAUCGAUUGAUUGUGUAUUUGUUGUUUAUUUUUGUCGCCUGAUUAAUGAACGUACGAAAUCGGGUGCCUGUGUUUAUAAAUGUAAUAUGAAGCAAACCGAGGCACGUUCCGAAACAUGCCGGAAGACUGGUUUUCCGGUAAUUAGCAGCUCGAUUAGCAGUUAAUCAAGAAUCAUGGAGUUUGACGCGAUCCCGCUCGAUCGAAAAAGUGUUCGUGCACCCGGGUCUGAGUCAAGAUCUACGGAAGAAUGGAUGAUUCCACGAAUAAUCGCCCAAGGCAUCCAUUUAGCAAAUCGAUUAAACACCCUAUUUGGUCGGAUUGCAAUAUUUUGCACACCGAUCAAUCUCUAGAUUUAAUCUGAUACAGUAGAUGAUGAAAUUUAAUAAAUCGAUUUAACCCCAUA